GUAUAAGAGACAGCAGCCGCCGCGGUAAUACAGAGGGUGCGAGCGUUAAUCGGAUUUACUGGGCGUAAAGCGUGCGUAGGCGGCUUCUUAAGUCGGAUGUGAAAUCCCUGAGCUUAACUUAGGAAUUGCAUUCGAUACUGGGAAGCUAGAGUAUGGGAGAGGAUGGUAGAAUUCCAGGUGUAGCGGUGAAAUGCGUAGAGAUCUGGAGGAAUACCGAUGGCGAAGGCAGCCAUCUGGCCUAAUACUGACGCUGAGGUACGAAAGCAUGGGGAGCAAACAGGAUUAGAUACCCCAGUAGUCCCUGUCUCUUAUAC
This 314-nucleotide ribosomal RNA is filed under the name uncultured bacterium. RNAcentral's name for it is "partial 16S ribosomal RNA". It matches the Rfam family "Bacterial small subunit ribosomal RNA", at positions 495 to 807 of the family's 1533-position model. The record is from RNAcentral.